GAGAGCCGUAUGAUGGGAAACUAUCACGUACGGUUCGGGGAGCAGUUGCAAAGCGCGCUGACUCUAC
Molecule: non-coding RNA, 67 nt
Organism: Rhizopogon vinicolor AM-OR11-026
Lineage: Eukaryota; Fungi; Basidiomycota; Agaricomycetes; Boletales; Rhizopogonaceae
Source: Rfam